CCUACGGGCGGCAGCAGUGGGGAAUAUUGGACAAUGGGCGAAAGCCUGAUCCAGCCAUGCCGCGUGUGUGAAGAAGGCCUUCGGGUUGUAAAGCACUUUCAGUGGGGAAGAAAGCCUUGGGGCUAAUACCCUCGAGGAAGGACAUCACCUACAGAAGAAGCACCGGCUAACUCCGUGCCAGCAGCCGCGGUAAUACGGAGGGUGCGAGCGUUAAUCGGAAUUACUGGGCGUAAAGCGCGCGUAGGCGGUCUGAUAAGCCGGUUGUGAAAGCCCCGGGCUCAACCUGGGAACGGCAUCCGGAACUGUCAGGCUAGAGUGCAGGAGAGGAAGGUAGAAUUCCCGGUGUAGCGGUGAAAUGCGUAGAGAUCGGGAGGAAUACCAGUGGCGAAGGCGGCCUUCUGGACUGACACUGACGCUGAGGUGCGAAAGCGUGGGUAGCAAACAGGAUUAGAUACCCUAGUAGUC
RNAcentral lists this ribosomal RNA (465 nucleotides) under Vreelandella stevensii. RNAcentral's name for it is "partial 16S ribosomal RNA". It matches the Rfam family "Bacterial small subunit ribosomal RNA", at positions 338 to 795 of the family's 1533-position model. The record is from RNAcentral. Lineage: Bacteria; Pseudomonadati; Pseudomonadota; Gammaproteobacteria; Oceanospirillales; Halomonadaceae.